Molecule: ribosomal RNA, 415 nt
Filed under: Spiroplasma citri
Lineage: Bacteria; Bacillati; Mycoplasmatota; Mollicutes; Entomoplasmatales; Spiroplasmataceae
Description: partial 16S ribosomal RNA
Source: RNAcentral
CCGUCUGCGCACGCUUUACGCCCAAUAAAUCCGGAUAACGCUUGCCACCUAUGUAUUACCGCGGCUGCUGGCACAUAGUUAGCCGUGGCUUUCUGGUAAGGUACCGUCAAAUAAGUAACAUUUCAUAUACUUACUAUUCUUCCCUUACGACAGACCUUUACAAUCCGAAGACCGUCUUCAGUCACGCGGCAUUGCUCCAUCAGGCUUUCGCCCAUUGUGUAAAAUUCCCUACUGCUGCCUCCCGUAGGAGUUCGGGCCGUGUCUCAGUCCCGAUGUGGCCGUUCAACCUCUCAGUUCGGCUACGUAUCACUGUCUUGGUAGGCCAUUACCCCACCAACUAACUAAUACGCCGCACCCUCAUCCAUUAGUGGUCCAAACGGACCUUUUAACAUUCUCUGAUGCCAGAAAAUGUCGU